CGCUGUCCGUCCAUCCACAUUUGGUUUGUAAACACUCUAGCAUUCACAUUUCUCAAGCAUUCUUUAUCCAAGUUGCUGAAAGAUCUCAGUCAAGUUUGAUGAUGAGCAAAAUCACAUAAUUAAUGCCAUAAUUAUUGCCCUUAGAUUGUCCAAAUUUUCAUUAUAUGAUACAAAAUCCUUGUAAGCAAAGUUUGAUGUUUGGUAAGGGGGGUCAACUCAAAAUAUAGGUCACCAUUUCAAAUCUUACAAAAACAAAAACACUCUCUACGCCAGAGUUUUGAUUCAAUAAUGAUGAAACUUGACCAGGAUGUUUGUCUGGUCAAUAUCUAGGUCAAGUUUGACGUUUGUUAGAUGAAAUGAACCGACACCUCUCAGGUGAGAGAACUAGGGCCAUAUUGGCCCUCUUGUAUAAGCUUAGAGCUUUAUCUCCAUUAACACAUGAGCCAGAGCCAUGAAACUUGCCAUAGUUGUUCUCAAUCAUCUGGGGUUGCUUCACAUUCAACACCCAUAAUCCUAGGGGCUAAGGUCAAGGUCACACAUUGAGGGCAAAGGGCGUUGUCCAUCUGUCAAGAAAACUUUUGUGUCCAGAAGCAUAUUGGCGGGGGAUAUCAAUUCAACGAAUUUGCUUGUUUUACUAUUUUAUUACUUUUUGUGUCGCGUAAUUUUGUUAUAUCAUCCUUAAAAAAAGAUGUUUGCCUUUUGUUUGUUCUUUCAAGAUAGUAAAUCGUGUUUCUAAACGUUGAAUGGAGACUUGUUUACUGCCUCUUCAUAAGUUUCAGUAUUUGAAACAUACAAGAAAUGUUCAAUUAACUAUUCAAAAUAUGUCAUGCUUAUAUUUGGUCCGUCGUCAAUGUUACUGUUAACGUGGAAGAGCUUGUAUGGAAUAAAUGUGUUUUAAACCA
Molecule: long non-coding RNA, 902 nt
Organism: Dreissena polymorpha
Lineage: Eukaryota; Metazoa; Mollusca; Bivalvia; Myida; Dreissenidae
Exons: 2
Source: RefSeq, a predicted model, not a curated record